GUGCCCGAAACCUUGACUCAACCUGGGUAUAUUAAACAGGUGAGCAAAGUUUCAGGUGUGU
This 61-nucleotide microRNA precursor is filed under the name Limulus polyphemus (Atlantic horseshoe crab). RNAcentral's name for it is "Lpo-Mir-87-P1f_pre stem-loop". The record is from RNAcentral. Lineage: Eukaryota; Metazoa; Arthropoda; Merostomata; Xiphosura; Limulidae.